GAUGAACGCUGGCGGCGUGCCUAAUACAUGCAAGUCGAGCGAACGGACGAGAAGCUUGCUCCUCUGAUGUUAGCGGCGGACGGGUGAGUAACACGUGGAUAACCUACCUAUAAUACUGGGAUAACUUCGGGAAACCGGAGCUAAUUCCGGCUAAUAUUUUGACCCGCAUGGUUCAAAAGUGAAAGACGGUCUUUCUGUCACUUAUAGAUGGAUCCGCGCUGCAUUAGCUAGUCGGUAAGGUAACGGCUUACCAAGGCAACGAUGCGUAGGGGACCUGUGGGGGGAGGAAGGCCCCCUGGAAUGGAGCCGCGGCACAGACUACUAUGGGACGCAGGGGAGGAGAAUCUACCGCAGAGGGAGAGAGGCUGACGGGACCACGCCGCGUGGGUGAUAGGAGGCCUCGGAUAGUAAAACUCUGUUACUAGGGUGGAACGUUUGUGUGAGUAACGGUUCACCUCUUGCAGGUACCUAAUCAGAAAGCCCCGGCUAACUACGUG
Molecule: ribosomal RNA, 497 nt
Filed under: uncultured bacterium
Lineage: Bacteria
Description: partial 16S ribosomal RNA
Rfam family: Bacterial small subunit ribosomal RNA
Source: RNAcentral